GUGCAUUGCUUUUGAGAGAGUUAAACACACCAAUUAACUGAUGUUAAAAGAGAACUUAAAUUUUUUAAGGUUUGAAAUAGAACUUAAAUUUUUUUUUAAAUGUCAGCAUCUCUGCAGGACCGCACUGCUUGCUGUUUGGGUGUCUAGACUUGUCAGAUAGAAACCUUAGCCUGUUGUUUUGAGCUGAGAAAUUCAUCCUGAGCCUGUGACUUGGAGAGGUGUGAGGGAAGAUGCACACUGCUUGGUUUGUAGGGCACUUUGGGAUCGGUGUCAGGAGAAAGCCAGCCAGACAAGUUGGUGAGGUGACACUCGUGACAGAUGUCUGCCCCGUUUCUGUAAAGCUGCUGACAACAGUGAGAAGAGUGGCAGCGGAGACAGGCUGACUUUUGGGACCGGGACGCGUUUAGCAGUGAGGCCCAGUAAGUCUGAGAGGAAAGUGGAACAUUUAUGUCUCUUCCUAUCAUUUGUUCUAGCAUAAUUUUUGCAUUGUCCUGUUUUACAUGCCAGAUGUACAAACCAUAGCCCCUUUAAAUGUCUGUGGCUGAGGGCCUCUGUCCUCCCCAUCUUCUCCUACGUGACAGGGGCGUGUUUUGUGACCUUGUCUCUCUCAUGAAGAAAUCGACAGCAGUGCAGUUGGUAGCCAUGUGCUGGCAGUCCCUGCCCUCAUCUCCAGUCCCCUUAUCUCGUUAUGUGGUUUUUGAGUUUUCACAACAGCAACAGGGAGGGGAAGAAAUGACCAGCAGCUUCAGCAGGGCUGUGAGCUGUUCCUGGUGUCUGAGGGCUUUGGAGCAGCUGUAGCUAGAAGUUCUGGAGGUUCAGGGCAUGGGUCUCUGGCAGAGAGAUUUAUGUAAAGGGUUGACAUGGGGUGUGAAUACAGGAGGAGGUAACAGACUCAUCUUUGGAAAAGGGACUCAGCUCAUCAUCCAGCCCCGUAAGUGCUUGUGCCUGAGAGCUGGGGACCUUACUGCAGACCGCAUGGAAAUAUUCCCAGACCUUGCUGAUGAGCCUCUGGUCCCAUGGGCAUAUCAGCAAGGUCCUAAGCCCACAGGCACUUUUGAGAUGUGUAGAUGUGGGAGGGGAUAGUCUGGGGGGGUGGGGGUCCUGGUUGCUUAUUGUGAGUGUACCCCCAUUACUGGGGAUUCUGGAUUCUGGCAGACAAAGGAUACCUCUUGGGACUGAAGCAUGAAUAUAUAGCGACCGUUUUGUUAUCAGCACCUUUGCAAUGAAAAUGACUCUCAUGGGUGUUGUGGACAAGGCUGUGUGGAUAGAAGUUUGAUCGUUUCUUCUUUUCUGUCUUCAUGCCCUCUUCUCCGCCUGACUUAGGGACCUUAAGUUAGAACAGUUAUUAAUCAUUUGCUUUCUGAGUCCCAUCUCUCAUCAAAUUCUGACAAGAGAGAUUCAUUAACAUAAAACCCAGAAAGGGAAAGGACAAGGAGUUAAUUCCCAGCGUCUGGGGAGUUGAACUUGACAACUUCUCAGUCUUCAUCAGCUAGCCAGCACUCCAUGAUGAAUUGAGGUCAAAGAGGGUCACAACAGGUAGUAUCUGGCCAGAGCCCCACCGCCCUCCUAGGGUUAAUGCUGCACAGUUUGGGAGAUGGAUGAAAAGGGAUCCCCAAGAGCUUGCCUGGGCAGCCUGUCCAUGGGGAGAGCUCUGAGUAACAGAGUGUAGGAUGGAGACCAGCAGCAGGUUUCUGUCAUGGAGCAUCUCACAGUGUAACACGGGCAGUGGCGGGAAAGUCAUAUUUGGGACUGGAACGAGACUUCAGGUCACCCUUGGUAGGUAACAGGAACCUUAAGGUAACAACUGUGUGUGUGUGUACAGUCGCUCAGUCACGUCCGACUCUGGGACCCUGUGGACUACAGGCUGCCAGGCUCCACUCUCCAUGGGAUUUCCCAGACAAGAAUACUAGAGUGGGUCGCUGUUUCCUUCUCCAGGAGAUCUGCCUGACCCAGGGAUCGAACCCGUGUCUUCCCCAUCUCCUGCAUUGGCCAGCAUAUUCUUUACUGCUGACCUACCAGGGAAACCUCUGAAACAGGAGUGCUCUGGAGGGGAUAUCCCAGCUGGAUACAGUCCUGCCUUUGUUGCAGUGGGAGGUGGUCUCACUGAAGGCACCAGCAUCCCAUCAGUAUUUGUGCUAGUUUUUAUUUCUACUGCUGAGGCUUUCCUAUCCACCUGGGAAAACAGACUUCUCCCUACUUGAAGCUCUUUCAGUCUUUGUUACUCUGUGUGUUUUCUUUGGAGCAGCAGGUUUGGGAAUUUAUCACCAGGAUUAUGUCACUCUGAGCAACAGAAUGAAAAGGGUUCUCAAAUAGAGAGUAGAGAGCCCUGCUCUUCCAGAUGACUUUUCAAGGGUGACAUGUGCAAACUGGAGGAAGUGGGCUAAAGUGACCUUCUAAUGACUGUUUUUGAGUGACUCUCAGGAAAUUUGCUUAAUGUCCUACACACUCAACUUCUGAGAGUAAUUGUUGGGCUAGACGCUUGGUGGAGUAAGACACUCGAUCCUCUGAAAACCUGAUGAAAUACCAACCCUCUCUCUCCCCCAACACACUGCCGUGUUUCAUUAUUUACCAAUUAUGAAAUAACUACAUGAUAAUUAACGUGAAAUUAUAUAGAUGAGCAGUUUGAGUAUUUUGAACCCAUAAUUAAGAUGCAAAUUAUCAACAAUCUGGAGCAUGCCACCAGGCAGUAACUCAUAUACAGUGGUCCCUGAAGACACAUCAUGUGUUUGGGCAUGAUUUGUUUGUGGCAUGGGUUUAUACCUAAUUUGGGAACCUGUUAGAGAGCUGAUGCUAUGUCUCAGAGUGCCAAUUUGGGUUCUGGAUUAGCUGUGCUCAGUGCGCUGAGAAGUGCCCACUUGCACAGCCUAGUAGCAUGACAAAUGGCCCCAUUCCUGUGAGAGAGGAGAAUGGGACAGUUGUGUUGUGGUCUUAGUUGGUGCCUCUGCCCCCUGCCCCUGCCACACUGGGAGCCUGGCUGCAAGCUUUCUGUGGGAGGUUUUUGUUAGAGGGUGUACUGCUGUGGCAAUAAUAACAACAACCUACGCUUUGGAGCAGGGACCAGACUGACGGUAAAACCAAGUAAGUGAGGGAAGCGGGUCAGUCUGAAAGGCAGUGCUGUUCUGUGCAAUUUAGCAGGAUUGGGACCCUGCUGCUCCCAAGGGGGUAGAUGCACCUAGUUUCUUUGUACCUGAGCUGGUUGGAGUCCGUUUCUUGAUGAGUUCUAGCAAUCCUAAGAAUUAGGUCACGAAGAAGUAGAAAUUUUCGUUGGUUUCUUCCUUGGCUCUGGAUAUAUAAAAAUGCUAAUGAUAACAUGCAAAACCCAAAUUUAAAAAACCAAACAACUCAGAAAUCAGGUUUUCCUCAAGAAGACCCCUCCUUCUCUUCAAGAGGAGCACAGUCAGCUCCUUUGUUGGGUUUUUAUUGGAUUUUAUGGUUGUUGUUAUUCUUUGUAAGAACUAUGAAAGUGGCAUGGUCCCUAGUCCCCAAAAUAGCCACUCUCUGACCCCCGUGCUAGAUGGCAUAUCUCUGCCUGACCUUGAGAUUGUUCCACGUGUCUCAGGCAUGAGUCAGCCAUCAGAACUCAGUGUUCUGGGAGCAAAACUGGGGGUUUAAGAUCAAGCUCAGAUCUAUCUGCACAGCCAGCUGUUAUUUUUAGAGACAUGUCCUAUCCCUGCCAAGGUACUAGGAGUUGAGGCUGCAAAGCAGUGAGACUUUCACUAGAGGGCAAGUGGUCUCCCAUAUUCUGUCUUCCCCUGAAUCCUUCCCAUCUACUGGUAAUUGUAAGGUCCCAUAUGACUGUGUGAAUGUUGGCAGCGGCCAAGGACAGCUCAUCUUUGGAAAAGGCACUAUGGUCUCUGUUAAACCAAGUAAGUGUUGGGGGAUUUCAGAGACUAAUCAAUGAGUGCAACUAAAGUGCAAUCCAGAGAGAAUGAGAAGAAAUGUAGCCGCCCUUCAGCCAUGAGCCCACAGAGCUGCCCUGGUCCAGGCCCCUGGCUGUCCUCAGUUCAGACAGGCCUGGCCUCUGCUGGACACAGGGUUUCACAAUGUGUAACAGGGCCCCCUCCCCAGGUUGGCGCUUCUCAGGAGCGAUCGCCCACCUCACUGUGGUGAGUGAGCGACCUUCUCAGCAAUGGUCUCCUGGAAGAGGGCCCAGGGAGACCCACAAUCUGUGUGACUGCAGGGUGAUGGGUGUUUAGACAUUGGGUUUAAUGGAGGAGAAGAGGCGAGGUCCCAUGAGGAAGAGAGGGGUUUUUGUUUAGGGAAGGUGCACUGUGGAACUCAAUGCCGGCUACGCGCUCCACUUUGGCCAAGGCACCUCAGUGCUGGUCACACCCGGUGAGUUCUUGUGGUUAAUUCCUUAUCCUUUCUGGAGAGCCAUCCAAAGGGACCUGUUGAAACGCAGCUGAAUUUAAUUGCUUCGUUUAGCAUGCGGUUGUUAACUAUGUCGGAUGUGUGAGUAAGAUAUGAAUACAUGUUUCCCUGGAGGCUGAAUUUAGUUAUCAGUCCUAUGGACAGUUUGAUAAAUUGUAUUAAUACCAUAGUCAGUGUUUCUUGAAGGUCCACAAAGCACGUUGAGGCUUUGGGGAAAAAGCAGAGAUAAGAGGCAGAAAAGCUUGGGAUAGAAACAGAAACAAACCAGUGAAAAGGGAGGCUACCAAGAGCAGCGUGUGGCCACAGAAGCGUGUCUUUAACAGAUAAGCACUGAGGGGCUGGUUGCACUUAUGCUGUGUCACCUGGUGGGAUUGGAAAAUCCGGCAGGUGGACUGAGGGCUUGUGUGAGGGGUGGGCAGCAGGAAUUACAAGCUUCUAGUGGCUUUCCUCUGCUGAGAGAACAGUGGAACAAUCCAACUUUCUCUGGUGUGAGGACGGCCCUCAAUGGGUCAUGUCAGUGGACAGCCCCCUCCUUCACUCCGGGGACAAAGGAGUUCCCCACACAGAUUUCUCCCAUCAUCCAGCCUGGCUGAGUCCACUCUGCGGGAGGGACAGAGGACCCCUGUACCCUGGAAGCCUCCCUGUGGCCACUGGAUUGCCUGUGAUAAAGCAGGGUGUUUAUCUGAGUUGUGAAGCUGUCAGGGAGAAGGGAGGAGAGAUGUAUUACAACAAGCAGUGUUGAAAAUGUAUACGCUAUCUCCACCCUUGCAGAGUUCAGCGCUCUGGGAUUUGGGUUUGGGCUUUUUCUGUUAGAAUUAUAGAAACCGAGGUGCUUUCCAUGCAGGCACACUCUUUGCAGAAAUGCCUGCCAUCUCACACUUCACUGGUAUUUUGUCAGCUACCCUCUGUGCCUGAACCGGGUGUGACAAUAAGUAACCAGGUUGAUUUGUUAACAAAUAAGAGUUUGUACAUUUAAAUGAGUGGCCCAGUCAAGCCACUGACAUACACUUCAGUCCCCCCACAUACCCUACUGUGCUUUGCUCACCUCCUCCUUUGAAUCUGCCCUCAAAGGGCCUGGAACAUUCUUCCUGUAGCAGCCUUGAUGGCUUUAUCUUUUGAAGGCGAAUUUUAUUUUUAUUAAUAAGCAAAAAGCUUUUGGAGCCAUGACUUAUAAAUAAAGGAGGGACUCAAAAUAAUUGCUGGUACUAUCAUGGUUCCAAAAAAUGAGGUAUGACUGUAAAAUAAGGUCAUUGUUAUGACCUGUGGCCCAUAAACUGAUCCUAAAGGGAGUACUUUAAAGGGUUCAACCAUCAUUUAGAUCUUUAAAUCUUGACAUGUUUGUUAAAACAGCCUCUUUACUUAAUAAACACGCUUAAGAUAAACAUAGCCUGAGACUGAGGAAGUUUUGCAAGCCCAGACCUAACCAAAGCAAGAAGACUUCAAUAUGAACUGAGGUGUUAUCCCAAGUAAAUCCCUUUUAGAAAAACAUGAGGGCAAAACCUUUCCAUGGAAAAAGUGCAUACGACAUCUUGCUAAUUGACUCCAAAGCUACUGUAAGGAAAGGGGAACCCUGUGUUGGUUUAUGUAGAGCCACAUAGCACUGUGACUCAGGAAACUACAAAUACGUCUUUGGAGCGGGCACUAGGCUGCAGGUUUUAACAAGUGAGUAUUACAGGGAAGACAUUAUUUUAAAUGUUGUUGGUAUCUGAGAGGCAAAGGUAACAUAAGGGAAAUACUUGCUGUAAACUAUGGAAGCAAAAAUAGCAGCUGCCUGAAGUGGCCAUUCUGGGUCCCUCCACUCUGGACAGGAGGGAUGAAGGAGAGCUUGGGGCUCACCAACAUGAACUUACCACCAAUUUCAUAAGAAUUAUAUUAAUUACUAGAAAAUAUUUAUUGGCUUAAGACUUUGAGAGAUUCCUCUAAACACGGGAAUUCUUUCCAAAAUUGUACUCUCAUUCCACAUUUUUCACUUGCUUUUCCUACCCCUCUUUAUGCCUUUCCCCCUCAUCCAGUUCAAUGCUUUAUCUGGGCAUUUGUGUUUUGAGAAACCAUCAUGUCCACUUCUUAGCCUGUGACUUAAGUAAUUAAGUGAAAGAUAUUUCUCAGUCGUGUCCGACUCAUGCGACCCCAAAGGCUGUAGCCCACCAGGCUCUUCUAUGCAUGGAAUUCCCCAGGCAAGAAUACUGGAGUGGGUAGCCAUUCCCUUCUCCAGGGGAUCUUCCUGACCCAGGGAUCAAACCCAAGUCUCCUACAUUACAGGCAGAUUCUUUACUGUCUGAGUCAUCAGGAAAGCAGGCUCUCUAAAACCUGGACCCUUUCUGUUCUCCAAAUCUCUUUCCAGCUGUUCCCUUUCUCAAAUGCUCUGCUCCAGGCAAACUGGACACCUGCUUCCCCUGAAUGCUUACAAUUGCCCACACCUGAACCUGGUGUCCAUAAAUCAGACUCCACGGACCCACCAAUGAAAGCAGACUUGCAGACAUGAAACAAAUUGUUUCUCAGCCAGAAGACCCAGCACAAGUGUCACUAGACUUCAUUUCACAGGACAACUUGAGAAACUAUAUCCCUUCUUCAAAAUGACGGAGGCUUGGGUAAGCGAUCCAACAGGCAAAUAGCAAAGUAGGAAGGAAGGAGAUGCUUCUGUAACAGGUGUGGAGAGGAGGGAAGACAUUCUCUGGAGGAGAACAACACUGACUUAACCCAAGUAGGAAUAUAUGGGCUGCAAUAUUUCCUGUAUAUUUCUUGUUUUCCCUCUGGAGGGGUCCAUUCCGGCUUGUUUGUUGUUAAGCCCCUGGUCCCCACCGCGGUGCCCAGAGGUGGGGAAGGGUGAGGGGGACACUUUGCCCUAUACUCAACAGUGGAAGUAAAAGGUAAAAUCAUUCUCAGAUUUUCCUUCAAGCUACCUCAAAAUUAAGAGAGGUUCAAAAGGAUCACCUUGACAAAACAGGAGAAGCUACCUGUAAAAGAAUGAUUUUAGGUUAGUCCUUGGCGUGUGUUAUCUCCCAGGAAAGGGACAGUAAGAAAGGAAAAGUCUUCACUAGGACAAAGAUAGAAAGUAGUGAAAGUCCUUUUCCUGCUGAUUGUCCAAGCUGGGGAUGAAAGGUCUGGAGCUGGAGUCAAGGGUGAGCUCCAGCACUGACCAGUGCCUGCAACUGUCUCUAGUUUUUUGGAAUGAGAACAAGGCAGGAAUCCCCUUACACGUUCGAGAGCCUGGACAUCAGAGCCAGGCUCCAGCAUCCUGAAAGGGUGGACCAACGUGCCCACCCCUCUUGCUGGGUGGGCAGUGGCAGCUGCCCUCAGUCUCUACCAUUGCGAUGACAGCAUCUCUGACUGCUUUUGCUUUGGUGCCAUGGAUAGGAACUGUUCCUACUUUGUCCAAAUGAGUUAUAUGAUCUUCAGAACCUCAGGAGAAUUAUUAUCUAAAGCACCAGAGGAUAGCUAGGAUUUUGGCAGUCUGGGCUUUUGUGGGAAAGUAUUCUGGGCUUUUGUGGGAAAAUUCCUUCUUUAGAAUAGUUAGAAAGAAUAGCUAGCUUCCAUUCAUCCAAUGUGGAAACAGUUCUGAACUCCAAGCUGGAGCUAGGAUUCUGUGCCAGGUUAUUACUGUGACAAUUACUUAAUAUUCUCCAUGCUCAUGGUAUCGCUUCUUCCAGAAGAUCUUUAGGGAAAACUUAGUUCAGUUUCCAGGAGGUUUUUGCUGAGCUGAAGAUCACUGUGUGAAUAAUAAUGCAGGCAACAUAUUCACAUUUGGAGGGGGAACAAGGUUAAUGGUCAAACCUCGUGAGUAUCUCUGCUGAAUCCAUAAUGAAUGUUCUGAUUUCUAAAGGAAGCCAUAGCACUGAACUUCAUUUGAGGACUUUCUCCACCCAGUGUUUUUAAAGUUACUUCUAACCAUUAAUCCUAAGGAUGAUACAGCAUACAUAUAUGCCAUAUGUACUUGUGAAAACGGGCACAUAGGUAAUUCUCUGGAACAGAAACAAAUAAGCUGGAGGAUAACAGAUUCUUUGUCCUUUUUGUCUUAACCAUUUGCAUCAGAGAGCCUGGGUUGAACUCAGGGACGGUUGAGCACUGGAGUGGGAGAACCUUCUCCAGCAACUUUGUGAGGAUUUUGCCGUGUCUUGCUGGGCUGGUGAGAGGACAGCUUGGUCUGGAGGUUGGGGGAUGAAAUAUGUAACCUCAGAACAGCCUUUGUGUCCCAACCAUGCUGUAAACUGGCCACGAUUAUGAGCAGUCUUCCCCACUGCUUCUUUGGCCAGGAUCCCAGCUGGAGGAGCACGCUGGCUAGAUUUGGGGAUUGAAAGGGAUUUCCUGGUACACACUGGCCUGGUUGGUUUCUGUAAAGCUUUCCAUGACUGUGUAAUACUGGCAACAACCGUAAGCUGAUUUGGGGACUGGGGACAAGUCUGGCAGUAAAUCCAAGUGAGUCUUCAAAUUAACUCUCUCAAACCUGUCUCUGUAGUUUGAAGUAUCUGAGAAACUAUCUCCUCUUUAGAGAGACAGUUUUAAAUGUGCAGUAAUGAGUAGUGUUCUUCUCUUGUCCACCCAAGCUGAGUCCUCGCCUACCUCUCAAUCAAAAUAACUAGAUAGAACAGUUCAGAUGUGCCUGGUGGGAAAGCAAUUGGAGUGUUUGACUGUUGUCUUACAGAGCAAACAGGUGGCCCAUUUCAAAAUAGCCAUCAGGAAGCAUCAAAAGUUAGACGAGGUGAAACUACACGUCAUGUAUCACAGCCUCCUUAGUCUACACUAUACCAACAUCAUCUCAGGCCAUCAGUGAAUUCUGUUAGCCUCCAGCCAAAGGUAACUCCAGUGCUGCUGGGAACUCUCAGAACUCAGGGCCUUCCCAGUGGCCUCCCUGGAGAGCAUCUCCCUAGUAUGGAUUAUCCAGCAUGACUCAAACCUACCAUGUGAUUUCUGCAUCUCUCAGUUCUCUUUGGCUCACAGUCUUAUGGUAGAUUUACUAGAAGCAACAGGGAAAGAAGUUGGUUUCAUCCUAAUUCUGGUCUCUUGAGGAGUUCUUCUCUCCAAGACUCUUCAGAAACAUCUUAGGGACCACCCACCCUGCUCAGAAUUGUGCCUUGUACAACCAGACUGGUUCCCAGCAGUGUUUGCUGUGGCUUUGGCUAGCUCCCAGGGAAUUUCUGGAGCUCCAGGCUGGAGCUGUGGGGAGAGGAGCGGGGGUGAUACAGUGAGCUCAGAGGAUUUGGGAAAGACAUCUUUGAUAGAGGCGUUAAUGAAUUUCUAAAUGAGCUUCUGUGUGUUAACUUGAUAAGACUCUCCAGGGAGAAGGUCAUCCUUACCUUUGCAACUCUAAAUGUAAGUCAUGGGUUGCAAGAAAAAAUGGGAAAUGUCAAUUGCCAUGCCAAAAUGAAGGGAGAGGAUAUACGUAUUGAACCAGUUUUAAUGCUAAGUUUAUGAAAUGUAAGACUUUCAGGAGAACCUUCUCAGGGUACCUUUAUUAAGAUCGAUGAGCUAACUAUUUAGUCAGUGUUACGGGGAUGCACACUUUAAAGGGGAACCCAGAAUUUUUUUAAGGCCAAUGAAAGGUUUAGCCACUAUAGGUGAGUUUUGGAAUCAAACUGCCUGGGUAAACCCUAACUCUGCUACUUGUUAGAUGUGUGACUUCGGGCAGAUAACCUAAUCUCUUUAUGCCUCAUUUUUUCAUCUGUUAAGUGGAAAUAAGAACAGUACCUAUAUCACUGCAUUGUUAUGAGAUUAAGAGAGUUAAUACUGACCAAGGGCCUUGCAUGCAGUGACACAUAGUAAGUCUCCAAUAAAUAUUAGUUAUUAUUACUAGAUCAGGUUGCUGGAGGGAGGAAAGGAUCUCCUUUUACAGUUUUUGUAAAGUAGAGCAUUACAGUGUGACUCAGGAAACACAGGAAGACUCACCUUUGGGCAGGGGACAAUGUUACAAGUAAAACCAGGUAGGUCUGAUGUUCCGAACAGUCCAGAGUUACCCAUUAAGCUCAUUCUUUGGUUAAUCUUCUCUGCCUUUUCAACUUAUCAAAGACUCUUAUUUUUUAGAUUUCAUCUUUCGUUAACACUAGUAAGGAGAAUGUGGGUAAAGCUUGGCUGGUAUGGUCUUUUCUAACUCACUUGGUUUCAGUUAGUGGUGAAAAAAGGAGCAAGACUUGAGGUAAGUUAGGUCUGGAAUUUCUAGGCAAGACCAAGAGAAUAUAAUUUGAUGGGAGACAUAAAAACAUCAAAUGUAAGAAGUGUACCAAAACUAAAGUUGAUUUUACGCAAUAAUAUACUGUAGUGAGAACCACCCCAGUAGCCACGAGAAUUCUCUUAAGAAUUGCCUUUCAAGGGGAAGAUGGGUAACAUGAAAAUGAUAAGUUUUUGUGUGAAAAAAUGGGGAGGAAAAAUGGGAGACUGUUGAUAAUUUGGAUUUUUUUGUUAAGAAACAUGGAAAAGAACAUUUUUUCCAUAGGAUGGUUGGUAAAAGGCUAUCAUCAAGUAGGAGUCAAAAGAGUCAAAAUGUGUAUGGUAUCCCCCGGGUGAACCUCACAGAGAAAGAGGAGGAAGAAAAUGGCCCAGAGUAAAGUGUUUUUGUACUGGGCAGAAACACUGUGUUAACUUCUGGAGCAAACCAGCUUGUCUUUGGGACAGGAACAAGCCUCACCAUCCUCCCCCGUAAGUUCUUUGCCACUUGAGAAAAAGCCCUUAAUCUAUAAUGACCAGCUCUCACAUCCCAGACACCUAAUGAAUUUCUAAAUGAGCUUCCGUGUAUUAACCUGAUAAGACUCUCCAGGGAGAAGGUCACCCUUACUUUUGCAGCUCUAAAUGUAAGACAUGUUGUAAGAAAAAAUGGGAAAUGUCAAUUGCGGUGCCAAAAUGAAGAGAGUGGGUGUAAAUAUUGGGCCAGUUUUAAUGUAAGUUUAUAAAAUGUAACCCUUUCGGGAGAACCAUCGCAGGGCACAUUUAUUAGUUUGUGUCUGCACAGCACAAUCAUCCAGUUAAUUUGAUUAAUGUCAGUAGCUGAUCCAAAUAUUUAGGUAUUUCCUUGAGAAACCUUUUUUGGGCUCAAAAUGGCCUGAAUUGACUGUCACAUUACCUAAAUAAUUGCCAGAUCUGUUUUACUUUGUGCUGUAGAGACUCAGCCUAAUAAAAACAAAUGCUGCUGUGUUUUUUCCCUCGUCUGUCUCGUCUCCACACAGCAAGUUUUCCUUCUAUUCAACAGCAACUCUGCACACAAAGACACCCAGCAAGCCAUUUGACUUACGGCUGCUGCUGUUUUGCAUUUAUAUGACUCCUUUCCUUGGAAGAGAUUAAGACACUUCAUAGGAAUUAUUAGCUAAACAGAUUGACAGCCUAAUUAGAAAGAAAGAAACAGAUUCAGAGGAUCUUUUGUGGCUGCCUUUCCCGCCCCUUCGUGUAGAACAUUUGGUCAGAUGGUUCUGCGAAACAGAGUGAGAAGCCGGGGGCAGGGGGGCGGGGGGUGUGCGGGUGUCUCUGCAGCACACCCCUUCUUAGCUGCAUACGAGAGGUUGUUACGAGAGGGAAAAUAGCACUAAAUAUGUCAGGGUGACUGACAGAGCUGGGAACAUGUUUUUCCUCUAGAACUCCUGUGUUCUCACAAAGCAGAGCAGGACGAAUUUUGACAUCAGCUGUUGCUCUGUGGGUCUACCCUUCUGUUUUCAGCCCCUUCCUUCUCCCACUCCUCUAUCUAACUCCUUUCUCUCUCACACCUGAGUCUCAUCCGCACCCCAGCACCAGCUCUACCACAUACUAAAGAGGCUGCCAGCCUCUCUGGCCAUCAGUGGUGUUGUCCUCAGCUCCAUGAGUGACCCUCCAAAAGCUCAGGCAUCUGAGGGAAUCCUCCCAGCCGCCCCGGGUACCGAAUGCCUGUAUCUAGGCUGCAGCUGGGCCCGGGAUGAGGGAGAGUCUCUGGAGGAAGGUCGGUCACAGAAUCAGGACCACCAUGGCCUUCGUGAUGCGUGUGUCUGAGCCCCCUCCUCCCUGGAAAACUGUAGCUUCCACCUUGAUUCCACAUACGUGGCUCUGAAGGGUGGCAGGUUUUUGUAGUGGAGUCAGCCAUGGUGGAACUUUGGGAAUGUGCUGCAUUUGGGGUCUGGCACUCAAGUGAUCGUUAUGCCUCGUAAGUAUAAGCAUCUCUUCUCAUUUCUGUAGGUUAGUAUGUCAAUCAAAUAAAGGAGUUAUCCCCCCACCCCCAUUUCCCAGCUAGUCUCUGAUGGGAUACGAUUUCUGGAUCUAGCCACACUGCUGGAUUAAGGCGAUCAAAUUCAUUUUCAGAUAUAACUUCAACUGAUUUCCGUUAAUGCUGUCAACAGCAAAGGGAAAUUAGAACGUGGUGGGAACCUAAUCUAUGCUCAUCACUGCUGUGGGAGGGCAAUCAUUUCUUCUUAUCCCCCGGCAGUCAGACUUAGAAUUCAGCAGACCUUUUCCAGGCCUGUCUUCUCUGGCAGAUUAAGUGACUGUGUCCAUUAACUUUCUUGAGGGAAAACAUACAAGAUAGAUACAUUCCCCUUCAGCUUUUCCUCAGAAAGCUUUUUGUUCGUUUUUUAGGCAGUACACUUUAGCUAACAUAUUCCCUCCUAUUCGUGUUAAUAAUAUCUUGGCUUAAACAAGCAAUUUCCCCCCACAUUAUUCAAAAUGCAUUGCUGCGUGUAACCCACUGCCCUCUCACCAGCCCUUUUGCCUUCACAACAUUCUCUGAGAAAGUAAACAGGAUCACACAUCAUCACACAUAAUUUCACAGAGAGAGAAGCUGAAGCGCAGACAAGUUAAAUAAUUUAAGUCAAACCCAAAAAGUCAGAACUGGGAUUACAGCCUGAGAUUCUUUGUUUUCUUACGGUGAAUUAUCUUGAGCUGUCAUCUCUGUGAAUUGAAAACAUAAUAAGCACAGGCCGUAGGAAUUCGCCGGGGAUGGAACUUAACCAAAACAAAAACUGAUUGUUUGAUGAUUGCAUGGGUGUUUGAAAUGUAUGCCCAGAUCUUCUUUGCCACUGGUGAUUAUUUGGUGUCAGAGAUAGGGAGAAAGCAGAGGGGCCAGAUGAGGGCAGAGCACCUUGCUAAGCUCAGGGGUUUUUGUAGGCCUUGGUAUCACUGUGUCUCCAACAGGGACAAACUCAUCUUUGGGGCUGGAACCAGAUUACAAGUUUUUCCAAGUAAGUCGUAGAAACCAAGCAGAGAUUUUGCAAAAAUGUUUUGUAUAAACAGUCAACUGGCUUUGGUUCAUCCUCACGGUACUGUGGGCCACCCUUCCCAACACUGUGCUCUGUAGGGCUUUCCCCACUUCUGGCUGUCUGCUCCUCACUCCCCCGGGAUACCAUUUCUCACAGAGAAAGGGUUCUGUAAACCAAAUCAGCUCAAUCUGUGUGUGAAUACCAUGGUACUGACUAGAAUCUUAUCAGCAGUGAAAACAAGACAGUAGAAAAUCAGAUGCAUCAUGACUCCAGACAAAUGAUCUGUUUUUCUCGUUUGCAUUUUUAUUUAAAGUAUCGGGGAAGGUGAAGCAAGUUCAGCUUCUCCCAUUUAAAAACUGUUUAUGAAUUACUCUUCCCUUGUGUGCAGAGAGAUCGAGAUUGACUUUAGAUGUUGAGUCAUUUGAUUUCAUCAUAUGUGUCUGGAAUCUAUAAUGGGCAAAGGAAUCAAAUGUAAUUAAAUGAGCAAAUAAUCUUCAAUAGUCAAUAUUCCUACAUUGCUUUAUGUGCUUGGCUCUGGACUUUUAUCUGGGACUUAUCUCUAAUAGGCUCCCCAGAAGGACAGUGAAGGUUUUUGUUAAGGUUUUUGUCUCUGUGUGGAUGGCAACUAUCAGUGGAUCUGGGGCUCUGGGACCAAACUAAUUAUAAAGCCAGGUAAGUCUCAGAGAUGUGACUGUAAGGGAGAAGAGACAUGUUGAAUAAUACACGAGGCAUAGCAUGCAAAUUACAUUUUUAAGAACAAUCCAACCUGCUGGAGAAAAGGCACUCGACCCAAAAGGGGUUUUCACUCCCAGCGAGAAGCAGUGUCAGCCACCAACUCUCUUGUUUGAUCUGCUAGCUUCCAGAGUGAACAGUGCUUAACUCGCCCUCCAAGAGAGCAGAGUUGGGUUGUUACAAAGGUUGAUUCCCUCUAAGAUGGUUGGAAUGCUUUCCCAAGGAUAUAACCAGUCUCACUUUGUCAAAAGAGAAGGCCAGAGAAAAGGCCAAGAGCCACAGUCAAAGGCCAAGAGAUGAAAGCCGUGUUUGCCACUUCCCCAACAUCCUUGUCUCUGGCUGCUAUCUUGCAUGGGGAAGCAGAUGCUUGCAAAGCUUCUGGCCAUUUGCUGGAGAACCCCCUGAGGUUCUGGACCUCAGCACAAGCCCCACAAGGAUGUAGUGUAAAAGGUCAUGUCAGGGCACCUGAAGGGUGUAAGGAGCCUAAAGGGACACCUGGCAAGUCAGUUCUCAAAGCAGUGGGACUCAGGAGUUCUUAGCCUGGGAAGACUAAGCCCAUUCGCCUCCAUCCUGCCAUGCCCCUUCCUGUGGGUUGUUGUAAGGCACUGAAAGGCUGUGUGAAUUAUGGGGGUGCUGCCAACCAGCUCAUCUUUGGGACUGGCACGCUGCUUUCUGUCAAGCCAAGUACGUGAGUAGUGGGAUUCUGUGUCCCUGGGAAGCAAGUGGGAAGGAACAGCCACUCUUUGAUGAAAGGGAAGGAUGAAGGUAGAUUUCUUACCCCCUCCAUCAUUCCUUAUCUAGUCAGGCUCUCAAAUGUCCUAAUCUCCUCAUAGCACCACAAAGUCAGAGAAGGGAAAAUGGGCUAGUGUUAAGAUAAAUCCCAGAAAGAAAAACCCCUGAAAAAUUCUCAUCUAAAUGUUACAGGCUUUCUGCUCAGUGAACUUGAUUUCCAGGCCAUUUAUCAGCUCUGGUCCUGCCUUUAUCUAGAUAGAUACAACCUCUCCUAGCCUGUUUAUGCAGUUGUGUGUGAGCUGGUCCAAGCAUCUUAUUUUUCUUCCCAAAGAGACCUGAGAGCUAUGGUUGGCGAGAUGGCUAAGAAGGCAGACAAAACUGACCCACGGUAGGGGAGGCCAAAGACGAGGCUUAGGGUGGGCUGUGGUUGUUAUUUAGACACCAAGUCAUAUCCAACUCUUUUGCAACCCCAUGGACUGCAGCCCACAAGGCUCCUUUGUCCAUGGGAUUGCCCAGGCAAGAAUGCUGAAGUGGGUUACCAUUUCCUCCUCCUGGGAAUCUUCCCAACCCAGGGAUCAAAUCCACGUCUCCUGCACUAGCAGGUAAAUUCUUUACCCGUGAGCCACCAGGAAAGCCCUAGGAUAGAUUAGGUCAGUAUCAAAAUGGUAACCCAUGGAACACCUUCCCCAUAUGUCCUGCAUCUGUUUCCCUUUUCGUUUUCCCUAGAAUACAUCCUUUUGGCUUGUUCUGGACACUCACUGCUCCCAAGCUAAGAGGAGAGAAAAUUAGUCCUUAAUUCGCUCUUCAAAUCUGAAGAAGCAACAAGUCACAGUUAUGUUGAGGAUGAGAUCUAGUCUCGUCUCUCCAAGUUCAAAAUCCUGUCACCAAGGCCCUGAUCUGGUGUCACCGUCUUAGAUGCUCACUCCUCUCUCUUCUCUUCAAGUCUCAGUGUAUGUGUUAAUAUGUAUGUUAAAACUCAGCCAGUGCUCAGCUUAGUGAUAAAAGGGCUCUUGUGUGCCCUUAUCCUUGUCUUUAGGAUACAAUCUUUCUUGUAACAGAAAAUGUUCCCUUCUUUCAUUUAUUUCAGAACUGGACUUUCUUAAAGUGUAGUAGAUGGUGUGUUAUAACUCCCUUGCUCAUCUGAAACAUCAUAAGAGUCCAUGGUGGCACUUCUUUAGGAAAAGAUAAGAUGGUUUGUCACUUGUUACUCUUCCCUGGUGAAAUAUCUUCUUAGGCUGCCACAUAGACACUAUCGCAUAGUGAGAAAGCUUGGAAAUACCCUGAUCAGUGAGUAGGGAACAGGACCAUGGCAUCUGGGUGAAGUCUGGACAAGAAUUCAGACAGCUCUGAAGCUGGAAAACAUUCCUGUGGGUAUAGGAAGGCAUCAUCGUUCCAGACCUGUCUGUCUAGGGCUAGGCUCACACGUAUGAGAAGAAGAGUUGUUAACAGAUAAGUUGAUUUGGCCAUGGCAGAUUGAAGCCUAACAAUGAAAAAGGUCUUAAAAGCUCCUACAUUGGGUCUUUUUUAAAUAAAAAUUAUUUGCUUUUUGUAGCAGAACCAGUAUUUUCUUCUUAUCAUAAAAGACCAUCUUCCAGAAACACAGGGAAAAAAACAUGGGGAAUCCAAUGCCCCUUCACUCCCGAGCCAUGUGUGCAGCGGGGUUUCACUAGGGGUUUCAGUAAAAGCAGGAAAUGCUGUGGGGACUGACAAUUCCAGAAUCUUCUUUGGAACUGGAACCCAGGUGGUGGUAAAGCCCAGUAAGUGGCCCUGUUCUAUUUAUACUUGACCAAACAAAUAAAUCCUGUGAAGUUAGUAGAGAUUUAAUUUAAUAUGUAGACAAAUGUACCCUUUGAAAAAUGACUUUCGCAAAUGCAUGAAACAUUCAUGGUUGUUGAGAAUAGAGCAAUAAUGAUAAAUGGAUACAGAAUGAGACCAGCCCAAAUUGCCUUUAAUAUGGUAGCUCAGCUCCUCUUUUUAAAGAGAUACUGGAGUCAUGAGUUAUUUACAGCCACAGUAUCUCUGAAACUAUGCUCUGCAAUGAUUUGUGUGUUUACUGUAACGUUGCCCACAGAACUUGUCUUCCAUUCUACUGAAAAUGAGAAUCUAUCUCAUUUUAAAUGCUCCUCAUGUGGAUAAGGUAACUUCUUUGUUGCUCAUGCCUGCAUAUGUAUUUAUUUCUAAAAGAUCCAAUAUAAAACCCAAACAUUACCCCAGUUUGACAAAGGUCCACAUCUAGUCCUAUACAUGUCAAAUUUCACUAAAAGCAUAGCUUUACUGUUCAAAUGCAAUGGGAGAAAGAAACAACUGAGAUAAAUUGACGAUCCCAGAUGGCUUAUUAACACCUGAAAGGGAAUUCAGAGUGAAAUAAAAUGGCAGGCAUGAUGACAGCAUUUUUAUUUAAUGAUCAGUUCCUCCAUGGGGAGUAAAAACUUUUUAAACAUGCCUCACUGGGGAGGAGGGAAAUAAUGAAUUCAGGAGCCUGGCAUUCCUGGGGUGUACCUGGGAUGUCAGUUUCUCCACAAUACUUUUUGGAAACAAAGCGACUCAUCCAAAUGUCAAGUCAAAAAAGUAAUAGUAAGAGGCAGGUGUUGUCAAGUUGACUGACUGAGUUAUGAAACUCUACAUUAGUUUAUAAUUGAAACUAUGGACUGACCAACUGACCACAGAGCUUUGAAAUAGAAUGGCCUGAUCUUUGAAUGGUUUAACUGUGGGGAAUGACCAAAGACAAAGAAACGAGCUAGAGGACUCCAUAAGUUUGGUUUGCGCUGUGUGCUCUGCUACACUAAGUCACUUCAAUCAUGUCUGACUCUGCCACCCUGUGGACUGUAGCCUGCCAGGGUCCUCUGUCCAUGGGAUUUCCCAGGCAAGACUACCGGAGUGGGUUGCCGUGCCCAUUUCCAGGGGAUCUUCCUGACCCAGGGAUCAAACUCACAUCUCUCAUGUCUCUUGUACUGGCAAGUGGGUUCUUUACCACCAGCACCACCUGGGAAGCCCAGGUUUGCUUUAGAGCUAGCAAAUAUGACCAAUCCAUGCGAAUCCUUUUUAAUAACUGUGAUAAAGACACUUUGGGGGUCAGGUAGUCAAUGAGGAGGAAACAGUGGGGUUUGUUUUUUUAUGGGUCAAACAAGGAUUCAAUCAGGACUGGGGGUAAUGCCAUCCAGUGUCCAUCUCUUAGUGGUAAGGAAACCAUGGACUGUGAAAGAACAGCAUUCCCUGAAAGGCUAGAGUCCUUCUGGGCCAAGGGAUGACCCGCACUACCACUCAUAGGGCAGGUCUAUAAUCAGUGUAGCAAACAUAUGCUUGACCUCAGGUAAGGUGUCUUCAGGGUGAGGUGGUACGGCCUCUCCAGAACAGAGCCCAGGAUGAGGCGAGGGCUCUGUGAAACAGUUCUGUCUCAGGUGAAAUUCAGAUGUGUGUCUUGCGUAGCCCCUUCCUGCCCCCAUCUUUCUUCAGACUCUGAGGAGUGGGCGUCUAGCUGGAUAGCUGUCUGCUCAGUCAUUUUUCACCUGCUGCCACAGAAUUGUGUUAGAUAUCACAAAGGAAUUCAUUGAAUUGUUGCUUUUAUCAUUCACUCUCAGUGUCAAAUGAGGUCGUCCAAUUUCCUCUCUGCAUAUUUGCAGCAAGCAGCAUAAAAUUGAAGCAAAACAACCAGGAGACACAGAGAAAGAUACCUGAAGCGAUAACGAGGCCUGUUUAUUAUAGUAGAAAGGAAAGUGUCCUGUGAAGGUGAGAUAGCCAUCAAGCUUUCCUAAAGAGUCACUGGGAGUUUUUGUUGUGGCCCCAAUCACAGUGUGAACAAACCUCUGGCAAAAUUGUCUUUGGAAGAGGGACUCAGCUUCAUGUUCUCCCCAGUAAGUGCUGUUCAUGUGAUUUUCUGAUAUUGACUCCCAUUGACUGAAAGUGGUUUGGUGUUGGGUGGGAAAAGCUUUGGCUCUAAGAUAUGUGGGUAGCCUCUAGUUCCUGAGUCCUUCUGCUCUACAGAGAGGCCCAGUCCUUGACCCUUCCACAGCCUAGUCAGAUAUCAAAUUCUUUCCCUUCUAGAGCUUGAAAAGUUGCUGCCAGUGCUUUUGGUGCUUAAAUAUUAAUUAUCCUUUCCAUGGUUUAUACAUGCAAAGAUUCAAAAAUUGUGAAACUUUGUCAAGGGUCAUUUUCAAGUUUCCCCUCCCCCACCCAGGCUGCUUCCCACCCCCUCAUGGACUUUGGACACAUCAUUAAAUCCAGGAUGAUUUCUGACUUCAACAAAGUGGCUUUGGAAAUGACCCCAGCCUAUCUAUGACUCCUCCUCUUCCAUUCUUCAUAAAAGACCCACUUUCUCUGUUCAGCCUCUGCUAAAAUUCCUGGCUCUGGUGCCCCACGCCUUCGCAUUUCCUUUGUUCCAGGGAUGAGUAGGAGAUAACUUUUGUAAGAGCUACUUUAAUGCCAGAGGCAACAAAGAUGGUGUGUCAGCCAAGAACAACAUCUUGUGUUGAGCCUUCUCACCCUGUGCCAUUUUCCAAAUCCUUUUCUUCAUUUAGGUAAAGCAGCCACUCCUAUUUAUUCCUAGCACAGCAAAGAGUUCAUUAUGAGGCCAGAGACAAGGGUUUCCUUUGGAAUAUAUUUCACAGGCUAACAAUAAGCUGGAAGUUUGCAGAUAGUUCACAAAUGCAUUCUCAGGCCACAACUCCAUGUAUGGAAGCCAGUAUGGGCUUCCAGGGAGAAGGAAGCAAAGAUGUGCUAAGGGAAAACAAAAGCUAUGGUUUAGUGGGGGAGAUUUCUGGAUGAUUCCACCCAGGGAAAAAAAUUAACAUGAAGAAACACUCAGAAAAUCCCCAAGGCCAGGCAUUCAGAGUUUUUGUGAUGAAGGCAAUCACUGUGGGGAUUCAGGAAACAGGCAACUUGUCUUUGGAAAAGGCACAAGACUUGCUGUGACUCCAAGUAAGUGUCCCUGGCCAUCCCUGAUUUUGAUCAGCAAUAGCAUCUAUGCUUACAUGAUUAUUUUCGGUGAACCUAUGAAUGCUUUUUUUCCCCAGGAAAAGUCUAGUAGGAGCUGGGAAGUUAGUACUUGACAGGAAGAUGAACAGGUUACUCUGACAUAAUUCAAAAGCCAACCAGACAAUCAGGGGCAAGCCUCAUACCUCACCGCGGCCUCAGCCUGUCCAACUGGCUCUGGCCACAUAUCCUGCCCAGUUCUCUCCCCUGAUAUCAGGAGCCCAAAACUCUAGGAGCUUUUCUGAGAUCUAAGAGCCACUUUUAAAUAUAUUGUGGGUUUCUGUCUAAUGUUGUUAUUCAUUUUAAUUUGCCUAAAUAAUAUAUGAAAUUUUCUCAUUAUAAAAGCAAUCCAAAUCACAGAUAAAGCCAAUAUUCACCCUGACCUCCUAUUCCUUCAGUAUCAGUUUCCUCCCCAAAGGUGACCCUUGGGACUGAUUAGGUGAGUUGUGAUGAGUUUCUCCUUGGAGAAUGACAUGAAAUCUCCUGUCUUCAGUGAAGGCAACUCAAGACAUAAAGAACUCAGACUGCAGUUUGCAGAUUUCAAUUAGAUAUAAGGAACGAUUAUAUCCUUGAAUGCAAAGGCUAUUGGCAAAAGAGAGUUACCUUCCUAGGAGCUCUUGAAGAAUACAUUGGUCUUUGGUCCUUGGCUGAAGACAGGAAGAUGGACCAGGUGACCUCUGAAAUCCAGCCAGGUCUCUGUAGGACUCAGGGAUGGUCCACCUGGCGGCAAGGGUCUAUAACAGCCCUUCUCUUCGGCCUGUCCUCUGGUUGGUGUUUCAGCCUGAGCUUUUGUCAGCAGUGCUCCUAUACUGUGCAUGGUUUGGUUUUUCUCAGCAUCUGUGGGGUUUUUGCAAAGAAAGGAAACUCUGUGCCUACUCUGGGACUGGGAGUUACCAACUCACCUUCGGGAAGGGCACCAAACUCUUGGUCACACCAAGUAAGUUCUUCUUUCUGGCUAAUUAUUCUUCCCAAGAUGCCUGCCUUCCAUCAUGCAGAAGCUGUCAAAACACAGGUGGUGUUUUCUUUGCUUGGUUUGUGUUGGGUGGUUCAUGAUACCAGUUGGAAAGCAAGGUUAUUAAUGCACAUAUCCUCUGGGGCAUUGUACUUGGCUUUUAAGAUCCAUGUAGUUUCUCCCAGAGAAAAUAUGUGAACCUCCACAAAGAGGAAGGCCCAGGGAAAGCCGAGGGGGACGGGGGAGGCAGGAAUUGGAUGAAAACAGAUAAAGGGCUUGCAGAAACAACAAACAAGAGGCGAUCCCAGGAGGCCACGCAGUAGCCACCUUGAGCAAACUUCCCAGGAGUUGCUCCUGCCAAGGCCCUUUCUCUCAAGGAAAAUUACAGCAAAUAGAAUUGGACUGGGAAGUUGCUAGUUAUUAGUAUUCAUCCCACAUUCUAACCUAAUUACAAGGAGAUUGUUUUGGCCAUGGGCAGUCAUUUCAGGUUUUGUUUUCCUGCUUGCCUCCUCCACCUCCACCUGUCUUCCUAGAGGCCCAAGUCAAGGUUAUUGCAAUAGCACUGAACACUGUGUAACACCGGUACAGGCAAAUUAACCUUUGGGGACGGGACUGCGCUCACUGUGAAGCCGAGUAAGUUGUGUUCUUCUUUGGCUGUGCCUUCAGGGGCAAUCAAUCAAAUCGUUAGUUUGAAAAAUACUUUAAUCCUGUGCAUCUGCUUGGGCUCUUUAUUAAUGUUCUUUCCCCAGGCCAAAGAGAGUUGGUUUCUUUCUCUGCUUUAAAAUGAGAUGUGCAUGUACACAUGUGCUCAUGCACACACACACACACACACACGCUCUGGCUCAUGGUGAGGGGCUUUCAGGAGCAUAGACUGCAUUUUCAAAGAAAUCGAGAUAUAAACAAUAACUGAGCCAAUGAGAAAGUCAGGAAGAACAUCCAGAGAAAAUGCCCCACCCCGGUCUGGCUUCUCUGCACGUUCUCAGCCAAAUAGGGGGCUUUGGCUCUGUCUGAUGGUCUAGGGCAAGGAAUUCCUCAGCUUCUCUCUGUAAUGAAUUCUAAAAUGUAGCAGCCUUUGCUGCCAGAAAUAAAGUACAACUGACUUUGAUUACCCAUGGGUGCACUGCGAUUUAACUCUCUGAAAAGAACCUCUAGAACUUUAGACAUCUAGUUUGAGAAUAAAAUGCCUACAGUUAAAUAUGAAAUUCAGCACUGAAUCUCUUUCUGCAGCAUCUCUGAGAUGCCAUGUGUCCCUCAGGACACGAAUCAAAUGAUUAGGAAUUAGGCGUUAUAGUCUGAGCUUUGGAGACAGAAAAACCUAAAUUCAAGUUCUGGCUCCAUUACUUUACCAGCUGUGUGAUCCUGGACAAAUUAAUGAACCUCUCUGAGCCUCAGUUUCCUCAUCCAUAAGAUGAGGAUAAAAAUAUCUCUACCUUAUUAUGCUAUUGAAAGGAUCAAAUAAAAUAACAGCUAAAAUAUUUAGCAUAGUGCCAAAAUAUGGAAAGAGCUCAUUAAACCCUAGCUAUUAAUAAUAAUGAUAAACACCAUCUCCAACACACAGUAACACUUUUGUUUCACCCCUCAGGCUCUUCUGUCAAGGCUCUGUCAUGCAUCAGGAGAAGAGCUGGCAGGAGGGGAGGGUGGAGAAUGUCAGCCUGCUCUAUGAAAUUCUUCACCUGGGAUUGGAAAGUGUCUAAAGGGAAAUAGAAAGAACCCUGGCUAAUUUAAAUACAAAAUCAUCCAAAUGUCAGAGGCAGGGGAGAGAUUUCUGCAGAGAGCUGCAUGGCCCGAGCUCCCGAGGCUACACAAUAGCCCCUUAGAGCAGGGAUGCGGCUCACAGUGUCCUAAGGUGAUGGCUGUAGCAGCUGAACCUAGCACCAUCCUCUCAGCAAGCUGACCCCAGCACAGCUCCCUCCCAGACAUGAGCUCCCCAUGCGGAGGGCCAGGGACAGAGGAUGGCAGCUUCACAGGGAAGAGCUACUUGCCCCCAGAUUGCAUCUCUGCUCCUCUAGGUAGUAAUGCUCAUGAGAGAUAUGAUGCCUGAAGAUAGCCUCUAAAUGAAACUCUCAGACCCAGGGAUGGAGAAUCGGGAGUCUAUAGAGGCAAACUGGGCCAGUUAGUAUUGAAGAAAAGGGAUGAAGGGUAAAGUGGGAACCUAGUCAUAGCUAAACCUGGGAGAGGACGCAUUAAACAAAAGCUGGAGGUGCUGUGUUGCCCAGCUCCCUGCCUGACCCCGCCCUGGGACUCAAACUCAGGACAUGGCUAAUACUGCAAGAGGAAGGGAGUUAGGUUAGUGGUAAAACCGUCCUAAUAGGUUUGUGAACAGUGAAAAUGAGCUGUCAGGAGUAGUUGCCAGGGCACUUUCUCUGGAGGGUUUUUGAAAAGAGAUAGACACCCUCCUCUCAGGGCUGACUGAAGCGCAGCCCUGCCUGGAGGCACGAGGAGAAAGAGACACUCUCUAAGCCUCUUCCCAGCCCUGGAGCUGCUCUGUGAAAAAAAUUCUGGCUCAUUAACACAGAGCUGCCUCCCUCAGGGCACCAGGGUUGCUGGGUUAAGUUUGGGAACCCUUGCUUGUUGUGUCCCAAACUCCCUUUGUACUCAGACUCAACAGGAUAAGCAUCCUAAAGCUACAAACACAGAGUCUGGGUCACGGGUCAUUGGAGGUGUUGAGAUAUGUGAGUUGGGGGUGGGGAGUGGGCUCUGGGUGGCUCUGAGGGCUUUUUGUAAAGCCCAGGGGCACUGUGGGAAUAACUAUGGCCAGGGUUUGAUCUUCAGUGGAGGAACCAGACUGUCUGUGCAGCCCCGUAAGUAUGGAGAGGUGGGAGCAGAAACCAGCCUGUGCUUGAGGCCUGGGUCCAUUGUGACGUUGGAGCCAGGAUGGAAAAGAGAGUAAGGAAUGAGAGGGAUGUUUAUUCAGGGAGGAAGAUCGCAGGACUGUGUGAAUAAUACUGGGGAAAUUACACGGGAGGUUUCCCUUCUCAGGAGGGCUUUGUCAGGGGAGAGCUGAGUUGGCAGGUUUUUGAUGCUGAGAUAAUCACUGUGGGGAAGGACAAGGCUUCUCCCUCGUCUUUGGGAAGGGGACAAGGCUGCUUGUCAAGCCGAGUAAGUGGCAUCCAAUUUGACUUGUACUCUGAAUAUGAUAAUCUCCAAGAGAAGACCUGCUCUCUUUCCCACAGGGUCUCCUUGGGCCAGAAAGACAUUCUAGAGGCUGAGCAGACCAAGGCCCGGAGCCUGGUCAUCUUCCUUGUCUUUAAAGGAGCUCUGGGAGGUGCAGGGGGGAGGAACUCACCAGGACCCCACCGACAGCCCAGACUUGGGGUCCGUCCACGCUGUCAACCUUCCAAUAAGUAAAAGCGUCUGAUGGCAAGUCUUCCUCAGGAGGAGAUGCCAGUAGAGUUAUGCCCAUUUCAUACACUUAAAAACUGAGGCCUCUCAGAGACUGACAUAUUCUAACAGGAACGGAACUCAGGGAGAACAGUUUUUCUGGUAGACGGUUGGAUUUGAAACAGAAGGUUAUUUAAAUGAGAGGGUAGCUGUGGUAACCAGCUUUCACCUGAGCUCCAGGUGCUGAGCACUGGGUAGGGUUUUAGGUAAACUCCUACCUAGACCAUGGGGUUUUAUCACUGCAGAGCCCAGUCUUCCCUAAGCCUGGUCUUCAUUAACCCAAGCAGCGCUACUCCCUGGCCCUGCAGCCUUGGAAGUGCAGCUCCUGGCAACAUCAUUCUUGGUGUCUUAUAAUAAGAGAAAUUAGAAGAGAAGCAAGGGAAAAGCUUAUAUCUCGGAUCAUGCAGUUCCCUCAUUUUGUAGCAAGAUUGUUUCCCCACGAGCCAUUUGUCUUCAUUUAGCGGCUGUCUUCUCUGGGGAAGCCAUUUUGUAGAGGUGUUUGUCACAGUGUGACAACUGACGGCUGGGGGAAAUUGAAUUUUGGAGCGGGGACCCGGGUUGUGGUCACCCCAGGUAAGCCUGAUUCCCUGGAGCCUCAGCUGUCCUUAAUCCUAACCCGUGUGCCAAGUAUUUCUAGCUGAGAUCAUGAGAGACAUAUUUGAAAGGAAGCCAUUUUGCUGAACAGCAGUACCCAGAGCCAUUAAGCAAAAGUGAGAGACCAGUUUGGUGUUAAACAGUAACAUUUUUGGAAAAACAGGAAUCCUCAUUAUUCCCUAUCAGUCCCCUGUGUAGGUACCUGAUUUCCCUUAUAAGGAAAGAACUUACAGGAGAAUGUAGAGCCGUGAUUCACACCAUGGUGUGGGAGAGAUGGGCUGUGGAUUCUGGAGGGUUAGGAUUAGAAAUGUGUUCAGGAAGAUUGGAUGUGUUUUUGACAGGCUGUAUAACACUGUGUGAAUUAUAACCAGGGAGGAAAGCUUAUCUUCGGACAGGGAACCGAGUUAUCUGUGAAGCCCAGUAAGUAUAAAUGUGUAUCCCUGGAUUAAGCAAUGUCUAUGGAUUAAAGGCUGAUUUAGACCCAAUUAUACACUAUCGGAAGAAUGUUUAGAAAGUGUGAAUGAGCGUCAGAUAGAAGGACAAAAGUCCCCUGGCUAGGAUCUGACAUCUGUGUGCAAAAUGGGCCAUGUAGGGGAGUGUCUGGGAAUUGUUCCCAGAAUAUAUUUGGUGAGACAGUGAUAUGUGACUGAUUACUUGAGGUGCUGACUAGGAUCUGUGGCCCUAGAUUUGUACCAUCAUCAGUGACAAGACUUCUUCCUUUCCAAGCCUCUAAGGCACUAUUCUUUUUGGCUAAGAUUAUGUCAAUUUAUAGAAGGAACCUUGUAAAUACUGAUCAUUGACCAAAAUAACUGUGAUUCGCCUCUCCCAAGGUCUAAAAAUCACUUUUAAAACAAAGUUUAUUCAUGAGUACUGUUGGGACAAUUUCUGUUUCUGAGAAUUUAGGCCAAAAAUGUGUAUAGCAUAGCCUUGUGGAGCGGAGAGAACCCUUAAAAAUCAUCUUUUCUGACUGUCCACAUAUAAGGAAACUGAGGCCCAGGGAAGAGACAGAUCAUGGCCCCACAACCACUCUAUGGUUGAGCUCAGGCUAGAACUUAAGUCCCUAUCAUUAAUUCUCCUGGAUAGGGCAAUCUCCUGGUGGUGUAACCCAGAGAUACUCAGAGCAGUGGAGAAAUAUUCUCUGUCCUGGCUUUGUGAGUCUUCUUGGAUGAAAAGAUGUAAAUACUGGUUUGACCUAUGAAAUCAGAGAGCGCUUAUCCUCUCUAUAUAUUAAAAGCGUAUGUUUGAUGCCUAGAACUCUGUAGUAGAAAGUGAGAAGCAAAGGUUCCCUAAAAGAAGGUGAGAUUUUUAAAGACAAAAAAGGCUUUCUUUAUGAUUUGUAGAUAGGCAGUUUGGUUACUCCAGAUCAAACCUAGUUUGACAGUCCUAAUUUUCAAAGUAAUCGCCAGCCCUUCACUCUGUGCUCCGGCCAACCUGGCCCGUUGGCUCCUGGUUUUUGUUGUUGGGCUUAUCACAGUGCUUCCUCUAGUUCAGGCUGGCAACUGACCUUUGGAUCUGGGACCCAACUGACUGUUGUACCUGGUAGGCCAUCACAUUUAAGUAAUAUUUUCAUGAAUGUAUUAAUCUAUAAAUGUAUAGUGUAUAUUUAUGUAACAUAAUAGGCCUGCAGGUGGGGUGGGGAGAGAAACUAACAACACAUACUUUAAAAGGUAAAUAAGAAGAGACUUAUUUAUCAAAGACCAAAGAGAAAGAAGCCUUUCUGCCAAGUUUGGAAUAAGAGUUGGUGAAAAUGAGUAGAAAAGAAGCUGCCCUAACCUAGAAGAGCAACAGAUUUCAUAAUGGGAACCUCUGUUUCUCAUAAUAUUUUCACUAGAACAGGUGAAAUGCUACAAGAUGGUUUUAACAGAAAUUAUCUUAAACCAAGUCUAGUUGGCCAGCUAUGUUGCUAGCCCAUCCUGGCUUAUUUCUACAUAAGUCCUUAAACACAAAAGUGUCUAUUUAAGAUAUUUAAAUGAAGCUCUAUUUCUAUAGCUUUCUCAUGCCCUUCCAGCGAAGCAUUCUUGUAACACACUGCUUAUCAUUUCUACAAGUAAGAACAAGUAAGCCCUUUGCCCUCCCAAACUGUAUAAGUAUUAUAAUUACUUGCCUUAGACUGAAGUCACCUCUAUUUUAUUUCUCAUAACUGUGUUCAUUUGUUGAGAUUUGUUUAAAUCCAAACAGUGUGGGCGUCUAACUGUUGGCACUGAGGUUUCCUUUCUCUUGAAAGUGUCAGCAAAAUAUUUUGCCCAUAAAUAAUGUUUCAUCUAGACUUGCAAAUGACAGCCAAGUCUGCGGCCUCUUUUUUUCCUCCCCCUUCCUAAAGGGAAUAUGCAGGCAGAGAGCAGGAAAAAAAAAAAAGCCAAAACCUACAGUUUCAUUGUGGGGGCUGGGCGGGGGCUGUUAAAGUACAUUUGGUUAUAUAAUGGAGGUACUUUGACCGAUAGGACGCAGUGAUCUUGUUUGAUCAUAUACACAGACACUGCUAGCUUGCGGGUGUGGUUCAGGGUGUCCUUGAAAAGAAGCUCAGGUCAGGUUGCCAAGCAUGACACAGACCCAGGUCCAACUCAGGGAGAGAAGCUCCUGGAUAGCCCUGGAACUAAAGGCAGAAUCAGGAUUCUCCUUACAAUCUAGUCUAUCUGAGGAGAACUUCCAUUUAUAAUUAGGAAGAGAGAAGGGUAAAGAGCAUUUAUUUGCAGAGUCCUUAUUUCAAAUAUUGUGUGUAUGGAGCACAGAAGACGCAAGAAUGAGCCCAAGCAGGAAACGAAAGAAAAGAAAUCAAUAAAACCACUGAAGAAAAUCAGAUGCCCUUAACUUGCCUGUCUUUGAUAAUGAAUGUGCCUUCUUCAUUCAUUCCUCACUUGGGUUUGUGAAUUUUCUAGGAAAGUAGCAAAAGAAAAAGAAAACUGGUGGCAUUGGGUUAGUCUUGGCCUAGCUUGGUUAGUUAUCUCUGGAUAGCACACCUUCCUUUUAGAACGUCCAGGAGACUUUUUGUAAUGGUAGUAAACAUGGUGUAUAACACCAACAGAUUUUACUUCGGAUCUGGGACAAAACUCAGAGUAAAGCCAAGUAAGUGACAGUUGUCUAUAAGAAAAAGUCACCAGCAUAUUAUCCUAAAUUCCUCUUACCAGUCUGUAUUGAUUUUGAGUUCUUUUAUUUUGUUUUUUGGCCCUUGUUCAUACAUCCCUUAAACAGAUAUAAAAUGUAGUAAACAAAUCCUAUGAUUCAGCAAACAUUUUGAAACUGCCAACCAUACUCUUGGGAUGAUAUCCCAUAUAAGGAAAAUUCUCAGAUUUUAACUGUAGUUGCUUUUAUUAUUAGUUGGCUCAAAAAAAAAAAAAAACUAUUUGGACAUAAUUUAAAAAGACUAUGAAUAUCCAGGACCUCAGAAAGGAGAUAUUACAAAUUAAAAUUUUAUUAAAUUAAAAUUAUAUAAUUAUAUUAAUAAUAAAUAAUCUAAUAGCUAUAUUUACUGAGCACUUGCUAUGGUGCAAAUGCCUCUCAUGCUUUAACUCACUUAAUCUUCCUCACAAUCCUGUGAAAUAGUUGUUGCCAUCCCCAUUUCACAGAUGAGGAAACUGUGAAAGUGAAAAAUAAAACAAGAGGUUAAAAUAGUUACCAGAGGGCUCUACACAGGGGAGGCCUCAGGGCAGCCUGCCCGUCCCCGCAGCCCACUCUCUUAUCCAAGGCAGGGUUUGCGUAGGAAGACGUAGCACUGUGACUCUAAAUAACUACAAGCUCACCUUUGGAUCAGGAACCACAGUAACUGUGAGAGCAAGUAAGUAAAAAGGAAGAAACAAGAAUAACUUUAAAACAAAAUGGUGGGCACAAUUACAAGCAAUCCCACCUGGGGAGCACAGUGGUCAGUAAUGAAAUUCGAAAAAGCUUUCCGGGUUUGCAUUAGGACAAAACCUGCCUGCCUCAGGGUCGCCCUCACAUCCUCCUCCAUCCCAAAUGGCUCUCCUCCUCAGGAGCACCUUCACAAGGAUAAAUGUGUCAAGAGCAUUGGCUUUAACGUCAGAUGAAAACCAAGCUAGCUAUCUGGAAUUCUCUCAGAUUCCUAAAAACAGUAAGAGAGGAUGUCAGUGGGCUAUACUAAGAUGAGAUAUAACACUUUUCAAAUAUUUGAAGGACUGCCAUUUAGACAAGGGAAGGGGUGAGGACAGGAGGCAAAAUCAAAACCAGUGGAUGAAAGGAGAUGUGUCUCGGCCUUCUGUGGGACCUUUCUGAACAAGGCCUGCGGUGGAAAGGCUGCUUUGUGAAGUGUGCGACCCUUCUUCCUUGGAGACCUUCACACUGGGUCCUGUAGCUGACUAUCUGAUGUUGUAGAAGGGGUUUCUGUGCCAUUUUAGAUAUUGGACUGAAUCAUCUCUGGGCUCCCUUUCAACUCUAAGUGCUAAGAUCUCAUGACUCCAGCCUAGAGGAUGAAAAGGUGAGCUCAGACGUGUUUCUUCUAUUUUUAUUAUCUUGAUAGUCAAAGAAAUAUGUCAUUGAAUUAUUCAUGAGCUAAAGCCUAUUUGGGCUUUUUAUACCUAAGAGAUGGUGGGAUAUGAUUCCCCAGUGCCAUAAAUGGGAAAAUAAAGAGUGGUAUUAGGAAGGAAAAAAGAGGAAAAGAAAAUGCCUGGAGGGACAACCAGAGGUCGAAGGAGGGGAAUGGGGUGAUUCUGCAAAGGACUGCAAAGGACAGUCUAUCAGAGUUUUCGCAAGUUCACCUUUGGAAAAGGAUCCAAACACAAUGACAAUCCAACUAAGUGAACUGUCUUUUAUACGGGGAAAUAGGGCCCGGGAAGCCAAGUUCCUUCCAAUUUAAACACUCUCAAAAGGACGUGUAAUUGCUUUCUGAUGGGAGGGUGCCUCUGCAGGUGGGAAUGCUAUUGUUAGCACAGACCAUUUGUCCCCUGAGAGAUAGCCUCUGAGAUCUGACUGUCCCACUCAGACUGUCAACUGCACAAGGAAAGACUUAAAGCCACUUAAAGAGGAUGAAGGUGGAUUUUCAACCCUGGCCCCCAGGGCAGGAGAGAGAGGGGUGGGGAACAUUAGGAGCAGGUUCAUGUAAAGGGGGCCGGCACUGUGUCAAUAGAGGCUCAAGUCUGGGGAGGUUCUACUUUGGAAGAGGAACCCGGCUAACUGUACAGCCUGGUGAGUGGGUUGUUAUCUAGUCCAGGGAAACAUUUCUAUGAAGAAACUGAAAAGCGAGAUGAAUGAAUGCCCUUAGUUCUAAAACUAAGGGAAUAUGUGUAUUGCUGUUCCUGGAGGACACUCCUUCCUAGGUAGACUGGGAUGGGGAAGUAGAAGAAAGAUCAGGAUCACCUAGGAUCCCUUUCAGGAGCCCGAGACUCUGAGAGGAGGCUGUGUUUGUCCCCACUAAAGGCAAAGGAGAAGGGCGUUCCCACUGGAGUGUGUGAGGCACCCCAAAACCCCCACUCCAGUCUACACCCAACACUUGGUUGGAUGUGCCAGACUGAGGUACAGGGUUGCCAGGGUUAUUUUUCUGGAGUCCAGAGGCCCUAUCAACUUCUUUCUUAUCAUGAAUGACCUCUCCAUAGUAUUCUGUCAACUUUCCCCAGGAAGCCGCCUCCCUCUUCCUUAGUAGAAGCCUCCCCAUUGAAUGGGCUCUAGAAUAACUGGAGGGAGUUAGGAUCUGCAACUUGGACCAAGGAAAGAAAAGCUGAUCACAGUGUACAGCAGCUCAGAGGGCCUGAGUAGACCCAAAACAAUAUCCUUCUUCUCUUCGGGGUCUUCCCAGGGCACUAAAUUGAAUAUAAAGAGACUCAGUGUACAUGCCUAUGUAUGGGUGGGUUCAUUAAGCUGUAUGUAUGAACAGCCUGAUCCCAGAAGUCUUACAGAGCUUAUAGGACUUCCUGUUCUCAGGUUCCUUUGUGGGUUACAAAUGGUCAAAUGGGCCCCUGAGUGAGGCUUUGUUGACAGCUAUUAUUCUCACUCACAGAUCCAGGUCCAAACAGCCAAAGCAGAGAAGUAAGUUAAUAUAUGAAAGAAUGAGACCCAAGUAUGUGCCACAGACAAGCAUUCCAGCUCUACAAAAUGGGCACAGUGCUGGGAGCCAGGAUUACCCUAACCAUCACAAGCCCUCCACUUUGCCCCAGCCACAGGACAGGGGUCAGGCAUCUAAAGAGUGUGAUUUCUUUGGUCCCUGUGGUUUUUGCUGGGCCUUAAAUCACUGUGUGACCACCACUGCAGGGACCAAGCUAACCUUUGGAGAAGGAACCAGGCUGAUAGUCAAGCUGAGUGAGUACCGGUACCUGAGCCAAAAUUCUGUUUCCAACAUUGAAGCAGGAACCUAGUCAUCAAUUUUAGAUUGAGUGUGUUAUGCGGGCCCACAUAAAUCUGUCUCAAACUUGCCUUAAAAUUGUGUAGUGUUGCUCUUAUGCAUAAGCAUAUAGGGAUGCACAAAUUCAGUGUGGAGAAAAAUAGCACUAUAUUGAUAUUUUCUAGGAUCUGUCUUCUUAAGAAAAGGAAAAUAGUUAAGGCCCUUUCCUUAUUUCUUCACAUCUUUGUCCCACAACGUAGAAGAAAAAGGAAAGCAAUGAUUCUCUCAAUUCAGAGUGGUUAAAGGAUUCGAACGUGCUCACAAUAGCAGGGCCAGCACCUACAUGUUCUAAGGUGCAAUAUAUUGCUGUCUGUACCAGGCUGCACCCCCUAUAACCAUCACUCUGAUUUAUCUCCUCUGGCCCUCAUUUUUCCCAAUUAAUGCAACUGAAAUAUUUGUAACUCUUAUCUCCUGGCUCACAGAAAGCAUGUGAGGAUUAAAAGGACAUUACUCUGAAAAAGUUGAGCUGGAGGUUUAUUUAGAGAGGUCCUGUUUUGUUUUGUUUUUUUCUAAGGGAGGAAAUGGAUAUUGUUUUUGUUGUUGAUGAUAUUGCCUUUUUCAUUAGGGAAGAGAAAAAGGAAGGAAGAGAUCCUUGAAAGCCAUGGUGAUAUGAUCAAUACAUGAACAUGUACAAAAAAUCAUUAAGGCAUUCAGUGAAGUGAGUGAAGUCGCUCAGUCAUGUCUGACUCUUUGUGACCCCAUGGACAGUAGCCUACCAGGCUCCGGGUCCAUGGGAUUUUCCAGGCAAGAAUACUGGAGUGGGUUGCCAUUUCCUUCUCCAGGGGAUCUUCCCAACCCAGGGAUUGAACCCGGGUCUCCUGCAUUGCAGGCAGAUUCUUUACCAACUGAGCCACUAGGUAUUCAACUCGGGGCCAAAAGACAGUGGAUCUGGCUCAGUCACUCACCAGCCACGUGCCCAUGGGAAGCCUUGUAAGCCUCAGUUCAUCUACAACAUGGAGAUUAUGAUUCUAGCUCUGCCUAGCUCAAAGGAUUUUGUAAGAAUCAAGAGAGAUAAUGUAUGUGAAAUCUCUUUGAAAAGUAUGGGCAGUCAGAUGAUUCAUGAAUUUUUUGAGAGUCAGAUUUUAUGAAAAAUUCCAUUUGAGGAUAAACUUGGAAAUCAAAAAGCUUCAUGGAUCUUGGCUAUGGCAGAGAAAGGGUUGAACGCGAAUAUAAGGUGAACCUUUCCAGCCCUGAGAAACCAGAACAUGAGAAUUGGGAACUGAGACUGUCCCUGGAGACCAUCAAGACCUGAGAUCACUUGGGAGAGAAAUGAGUGAGGUUGUGAGCGUGUAGGAAAUGGUUUCGGAGGUUUCCUACCAUGCCGAAGAAUGUAUGACUUUAAGACUUUUCUUGAGUUUACCUAAAUAUGUGUUUAGUGUUGGACUGCGUAUCAACCAAGUGAGGGAUCCUGGGAGAAUUCCUGUGCUUGUAAAUGAAGCUCACUUUGGUUUUUGUGGUGAAGUAGAUCACUGUGGGGUUUUCAAGUGGCCAGAAGUUGGUUUUUGGAAGUGGGACCAUGUUAAAGGUGAAUCUUAGUAAGUAUUGAAUUUUGAAAUCUAUUAGUUACUGAGACAUGUAACAGACUUUUUUGUAAAUCUAAGGGGACUGCCAAAUGUUUCCAGUUUAUUCAGAUUUAGUGGAGAACAGAGUUCUUCCCACGUCCUCUCCAUCCUAAGUGUAAAAGCUCAUUUUGUUAGGUAAUGGUUUGCAUUGUUGGACAGUUUAAUAGAGAACCAGAAUGGCAGAAGUCUCCCCAUCUCAGUGGUCAGCCCCAUCAGAGAAGUCAUCUGAGAAACACUCUGAGAGGCUAAUAUCUUCUCUUCCAGCGGUCCUCCUCUUACAACCUUAAUGCACUCAACAACCAUUGCCACAGUUCCCAAUUCCUGUAAUGUCCCAAAGUCACUUUGGAAGAACCUCAGUCUCAUUUUAUCUUUCCUAAGCAGGAAUGAGGUAUGAGGUGGAACUGUAUCUAGUAUUUCAAGAGAGAGAAGGCAUGAUCUAGGCAUCCAUGGCCAUCCUUGACACUGUGUGAUUUGGAACCAGGCUUUGAUCUUUCAGGCCCUCAAAUUGCUGAUCUAUAAAUGGAGGUGACGAUUCAUUCUUCCAAGCUUGGAUCUCAUCAUCACCUUCUCAGAGAGACCUUUCCUGCCUAAUCCAUCCAACAAGCCACCAAACACAGACAGUGCCUGGCUCUCCACCCCAUUAUCCAGCCUGAUCUGUUCCUGCACUUCAUCACCUGACAUUGUAUUAUCUAUGGAUUGGUUCCUGUGUGCCUCCUUCUAGACUGUAAAUGCCACGGGGACAGGGACAGUGUCCCAGCGGCUUUCAGCUGUAUCCUAGCACCUAGCACUGGGCCUCACACAUGGAGAUGUUGUGUGAAGUUUGUUAAGUGAGCACAGGACCCACCACAUCUACCUUCCUUCUCACAAAGUAACAAAGCUUUACUGUUGCAUUCCCAAACCCUGGGAGCUCACUGAAUUCCUUGCUGAAGGCAAGGACAGAAUACAAGUGUCCCUUGUCAGGUGAGUGAGCAGGUACUCAAGGUAUUUGCAGGACCUUGUUUCACUGUGCCUACCAGGGAGGAAAUGCAUUGGUCUUUGGGAAAGGAACCACAGUAUCAGUGCAUCCCAGUAAGUACCUGGUUAUUAUUGAUCAUAACACCUGAACUUAUCCUGCAGACUUAAUCUGCAGGGGACUAAACGUUUCAUUCUUUUUUCUAAAUGUGUCCUGUGUUUCUGUGUAUCUUCUUUUUAAAUAUUUAUUUAUAUGACUGUUCCAGGUCUUAGUAGUGGUAUGGAAACUCUUAGUUGCAGCAUGUGGGAUCUAGUUGCCUGACCGGGGAUCACAGCACCCUACCUUGGCAGUGUAGAGCCUUAGCCACUGGACCACCAGGGAAGUCCCUAUCUCCUUAUUUUUUAACUCAAGGAGUACUGGGGUUUGAUGAUGAAAGGCACUAAGACAAAAUGAAAAACAUGUGUACUAUCCCCCAUGUCUAAUACUCCAACCAUACCUACUACAUGCUCACAAAUGUUUUUUAAAAUAAACUAAAGUGAGUGAUAAAAGAAAGAUAGAUUACCUACAGGGAUGGGAGCAAUUCACUAAGCACUGGUAAAGGGAGCUUGUGUACAGGGGUUGAUGCCUAAGUAAACAUGGGGACCAGAGCUGAUAUCCUUUGGCAGGUAAAACAAUAUGACUUGGUGAAAUUUUGCAAAUCUUUCUGAAGGAAAUACGUCAGAGUUGUCUAGAGACUAUCACUUGGACUCUUCUCAGGCUUUCCCCUCCAUCAGUCCUAUUGUGCUCUGAAAAAGAAGCUUUCAGAGGCUUAACUCCAUGGCUUAGUCUUUAUUUCAAUAAUAAAAAAGGAGGAAAUCCCAGCCAGAGUUCCCAGGAAGGAGGACAGAUACACGCUAAUCACACUAAUCUACUAUCAAGGUAGCUCAGGAAUUAUUGUCAGGCAGCACGGUGCUGUGAUUUAUAACACAUUCAUCUUUGCGAGUGGGACAAGAUUAUCAGUAAAACCCAGUAAGUAGACAAUAUGUCACUAAAGUAGGAGGCUUAAUGUGGCUGUUGAACUUACUGCAGUAUUUGUAGGGCCUGAGCGUCAAGAAAUGAAUGGUUUAUGUGGACUAACAUUCAUUCUGAUGUAGAAAGAAAUGUUAAAGUAAUGGCACGGAGGCUAGGCUAAACGUGGAGCAAAAGUAGUCAUGUGGAUGAACCAAAAGCAACAGACUGAAACAGUUCAGUCCGAGAGUAGACCAUAAAGAAAAAAGCAAAGUUUGGCUAAACACUGCUAGUCCUUCUAAACCUGGCUAGAUCAGUGCAUCUGAGCCACAAUUUCUUCACCUGUAAAAUGAAAAUACGUCAUCUCACCUCAAAAGUUUUUUUAAUAUUUGGCAAAACUAAUACAAUAUUGUAAAGUUUAAAAAUAAAAUAAAAUUUAAAAAAAUAAAAUAAAUAAAAAUAAAAUAAGUUAAUGGAUAUGAAACUACUUUAUAAACUAGUAAAUGCUAUGUACAUGUAAAAUAUUAUGAUUGUUUUCAGAAAAAAAGGCUAGGAUGGCUAGUAUACUUCUCCAUAGAGAAUAUGUAGGUUCUUAGUAAAAGAGCUAUUUUCAUGUUGAUCUGUAGCCAUAGACAUUGGUGAAAACCGCUUUCUCUUCUACUGAAGUAGAAGAGACACUUAAACGUCACCCACAUGAGAAUGGCAGAAAGGAAGCCAUCCUGUAUAGGCCUGCAUUGUAGCGUGAAUCCUAGGGGUGACCGAAAGGUUGCCUUUGGAACUGGAACGACACUUCAGGUCACCCCAAGUAAGUCUAAAUUCCUAAGCAUUUCUCCUUCCUUGUGUUGUCAUCUCACAGAUUGUAAUGUUUGGAGCGCAUGAUGGGGAUGUAAUAAGCCUUUUCUGGCCAUUUUUUGAAAGAUUUAAAUAAAGCUAUUUAGAAAGAUCCCUCAUCCAACCCUUAAUGUUCUAAUAGUUUUGUCUCAUCCAAGUUGUGUUCUUUCUUAAUAGAAUAGAAAGCCAAGACAUUGCCCAUGAGGCCAACUGAAACAGUAAAUUUGCAGAGAAUAAGAACCAAAGAGAAGGCAAGUGAUUUUUUUUUUUUAAUCAGACCCGAACCAGAAUGGAUGCCCUUUAAUCAGAGGCAUGCCUGACUUUGGGGACAGAACAGAACUCAAGUAGGUAACCAAGGUGCCACGGAGCCACUAAGUCUGCAAGAUAAGGAGGUAGGAGCGAGCAGUAAGUUGUCACUCUGUGAUCUGGAUGUUAUUCCCUGAAGUUUCAGAUUGAUUGAAGUUAAAAUUGGGAGAGACACUAUGGCAGGAAUUUAAAGUUUGAUAAGUGUAAUGAAGACAAAAGAGCUAGAUACAUCUGCUGGAUAAACAGAGUUGAAAAUCACAAGUUGGAUGGUGAUAGACCCAGGGCUGUGAGUAGAUCAAGGCUUCAUUUUAAGUGUUGCACAAUAAAUGCUCAUAAUUGAGUCGAAUGGCCUGUGUUAUGCAGAAUGUAAAAAGAAAGUUAAGACGAAGGGGCUGUAUCUCUCAGUCUUGGGUAUAAGAUGUGUGGGCUUGCAGGGGUUUUUGACUGACUAAGAAACACUGUGGGAAGGAUGGAGGCUAUACAUGGACCUUCGGAAGUGGGACUAGACUGCUGGUCAGGCCUGAAGUCAAGGACCCCAACCCCACUGUGUACCAGCUGAGAAGCCCCCAAUCCAGUGACACUUCUGUCUGCCUAUUCACCGAUUUUGAUUCAAAUCAAGUCAACAUGGAAAAAAUCAUGGGGUCCGAGGGGAGCACGGUGCACAAAACAAACAGCACCGUGCUCAACAUGGAGAUCCUGGGAUCCAAGAGCAACGGGAUAGUGACUUGGGGAAACACCAGCGAUGCUGGAUGCGAAUACACCUUCAACGAGACCAUUCCCUUCGCCUCCAGCUUGGAAAUCUCCUGUAAUGCCAAGCUGGUAGAGAAAAGCUUUGAAACAGAUAUAAACCUAAACUCCCAAAACCUGUCAGUGAUAGUGUUCCGCAUCCUCCUCCUGAAGGUGGUCGGGUUUAAUCUGCUCAUGACGCUGCGGCUCUGGUCCAGUUGAGGUCACCGACAACCUGAGAGCCCCGUGCUCCCUCGCCCCUUGCUCCUCGUCGCCCUUCCUCUCCCUCUUCAAGCAGAGAGGCGCACUCUCUGCCCCCAUGGAUGAGAAGGCUCCCUCCUCCUCUCUGGCCUGGCUGGCCAUAACACCAACUGGAUCCUCCAGAUACUGGUGAUCAAGAUGCUGACAAGCUGCCCAGCACGGCUGCCACCCACUCUCUUCCUCACUGCUGCUUGUCACUGCCUGGCAUUCUUGGCAAAGUCGGGGGGCUGCUGCAGCCUCUCCUGGCUGUGGGGACACUCCCUCCCCACCCCCACCCCCCAGAGACUGCCUCUGAUGUCCCACUGGAUGGUGGAUCCCCAGUGGGUUCUCCUGGGCUCUAGCUCCUGGAGAAUGUUGUGUGUUGUUUAUAUUUUUUUACAUAGUGUUCAUAAAAAAAUAUAUAUCACCCUUUUCCCCAACAUGUGGGGAAAAAUUAUCUUUUCACGAUCUAGGCCCUGCUCUUCUGUGUAUCCGAGCCACAUUGUAUAUUCUGCUGCCACGGCUUCAAUAAAAGCGAUUUGGAAGAGAC
Molecule: long non-coding RNA, 37346 nt
Organism: Bos taurus (domestic cattle)
Lineage: Eukaryota; Metazoa; Chordata; Mammalia; Artiodactyla; Bovidae
Source: Ensembl